CAGUCGCCACGGUAAUACGGAGGGUGCAAGCGUUAAUCGGAAUUACUGGGCGUAAAGCGCACGCAGGCGGUUUGUUAAGUCAGAUGUGAAAUCCCCGAGCCUAACUUGGGAACCGCAUUUGAAACUGGCAAGCUAGAGUCUUGUAGAGGGGGGUAGAAUUCCAGGUGUAGCGGUGAAAUGCGUAGAGAUCUGGAGGAAUACCGGUGGCGAAGGCGGCCCCCUGGACAAAGACUGACGCUCAGGUGCGAAAGCGUGGGAGCAAACAGGAUUAGAUACCCCAGUAGUCCCUGUCUCUUAUACA
Molecule: ribosomal RNA, 301 nt
Filed under: uncultured bacterium
Lineage: Bacteria
Description: partial 16S ribosomal RNA
Rfam family: Bacterial small subunit ribosomal RNA
Source: RNAcentral